RNAcentral lists this ribosomal RNA (440 nucleotides) under uncultured bacterium. Its description in RNAcentral is "partial 16S ribosomal RNA". It matches the Rfam family "Bacterial small subunit ribosomal RNA", at positions 338 to 795 of the family's 1533-position model. The record is from RNAcentral.
CCUACGGGUGGCAGCAGUGGGGAAUAUUGCACAAUGGGGGAAACCCUGAUGCAGCGACGCCGCGUGAGUGAAGAAGUAUUUCGGUAUGUAAAGCUCUGUCAGCAGGGAAGAAAAUGACGGUACCUGACCAAGAAGCCCCGGAUAACUACGUGCCAGAAGCCGCGGUAAUACGUAGGGGGCAAGCGUUAUCCGGAUUUACCGGGUGUAAAGGGAGCGUAGACGGCAGGGCAAGUCCGGAGUGAAAGGCGGGGGCUCAACCCCCGGAUUGCUCUGGAAACUGGCAGGCUGGAGUGCAGGAGAGGUAAGUGGAAUUCCUGGUGUAGCGGUGAAAUGCGUAGAUAUUAGGAGGAACACCAGUGGCGAAGGCGGCUUACUGGACUGUAACUGACGUUGAGGCUCGAAAGCGUGGGGAGCAAACAGGAUUAGAUACCCCAGUAGUC